UGGCUGUCUUUUUUUAUUUGUUGUUUUGUUUUCAUGGGGUCAUUUUGUCGCUGUGUCUUCCAGGUUGUUUAUGUCUAGUUGCUUGCACUUUUUGUAAGGAGCCUGCUUGAACUCACUUGGUAGUGUAGGUGAUGCCAUUGUUGAAGACCACUACAGUGACCUUUGGCUGUUGUUUUGUGCAUGUCCUUGUGCUGUUCUGUGGUGGGAUGAUAUAUCAUGUGUUUUUUUAUCCCCUAUCAG
RNAcentral lists this long non-coding RNA (240 nucleotides) under Mytilus galloprovincialis (Mediterranean mussel). Lineage: Eukaryota; Metazoa; Mollusca; Bivalvia; Mytilida; Mytilidae. The record is from RNAcentral.